This is a small nucleolar RNA of Chinchilla lanigera (long-tailed chinchilla), 95 nucleotides long. Its record names the gene SNORD21. It matches the Rfam family "Small nucleolar RNA SNORD21". Rfam says of the family: U21 is a member of the C/D class of snoRNA which contain the C (UGAUGA) and D (CUGA) box motifs. U21 is encoded within an intron of the gene for ribosomal protein L5 in mammals, but within introns of the ADP ribosylation factor gene in Drosophila. Lineage: Eukaryota; Metazoa; Chordata; Mammalia; Rodentia; Chinchillidae. The record is from Ensembl.
GCCAAAUGACGAUAGCCCACUAACUGAGCAGUCCGUAGUUGGUCCUUUGGCUGCAUAUGAUGUAGCAGUUGUUUCAAGACGGGACUGAUGGCAGC